UGGGGAAUAUUGCACAAUGGGGGAAACCCUGAUGCAGCGACGCCGCGUGAGCGAAGAAGGCUUUCGAGUCGUAAAGCUCUGUCCUAUGAGAAGAUAAUGACGGUAUCAUAGGAGGAAGCCCUGGCUAAAUACGUGCCAGCAGCCGCGGUAAUACGUAUGGGGCGAGCGUUGUCCGGAAUUAUUGGGCGUAAAGGGUACGUAGGCGGUUUUUUAAGUCAGGUGUCAAAGCGUGGAGCUUAACUCCAUUAAGCACUUGAAACUGAAAGACUUGAGUGAAGGAGAGGAAAGUGGAAUUCCUAGUGUAGCGGUGAAAUGCGUAGAUAUUUGGAAGAACACCGGUGGCGAAGGCGGCCUUCUGGGCCACGACUGACGCUGAGGCGCGAAAGCUAGGGGAGCGAACAGG
This 403-nucleotide ribosomal RNA is filed under the name Verrucomicrobiota bacterium. RNAcentral describes it as "Verrucomicrobia bacterium partial 16S ribosomal RNA". It matches the Rfam family "Bacterial small subunit ribosomal RNA", at positions 355 to 776 of the family's 1533-position model. Lineage: Bacteria; Pseudomonadati; Verrucomicrobiota. The record is from RNAcentral.